AAAUGUUGUUUUCUAAGUAACUAUUGGUAGUACUCCGAGAACAUGUGGAUUGUCCGAAAUGAAUUCAAUUUUGCUAUCUUUUAUAUCCAUCCAUAAGAAUCAUAUUUCCUAUGUAAUAAACACAUUGAUGUCAUUAAUUUUGUAAUUACAAAAAUGGAAAAGGGGUGGGAGACAGAGGAAUUAGGUUGAUUAAAAUAGGAGGAUGUGAGGGAGGGAAGAAUUUGAAGAAGCAACAAAGAAAGGUUCCCAUUUCUUAUGUUUUAUUUUCUCUCUAUGCAAUGUGAGUCCAUCUCACUUCUCAUCAUCCCUUGUUCUAAUAUAUCUACAAUUAAAAAAAACUUCCAAUAAAAAACAACUUCAAAAAAAGGAACAAAAAAAACAAAUGAAUGCAUACACAUAUAUAUAAACACACACAUAAUGAGAAGACUAGGGUGAGUCGUCACAAAAUGAGAAAGAGAAAGAUUACAAAUCAAUAAUCAAGCAAUUAAAAAGCGAAAGGAGAACCAUUACCUUCUGACAAGUAAAACGAAAAGGCUAGGGUGAGCCGUCACAAAAUGAGCUCCAGUGGCGACAAAUCAUUAUCUUUUGACGAGCAAAAGGAGAAGGAUUGGGUGAGUCGCACCUCCUUCAAUCUUAGAAGGAAGAGAAGAUUAUACCUCUCACCAUGAGCCGCAAUGCAGAGAGUGAAUGUUGGCUGAAACAAAGACAAAUUGUAAUCAUAAUUUUGG
This 728-nucleotide long non-coding RNA is filed under the name Lupinus angustifolius (narrow-leaved blue lupine). RNAcentral's name for it is "long non-coding RNA (LANG_LNC000836)". The record is from RNAcentral. Lineage: Eukaryota; Viridiplantae; Streptophyta; Magnoliopsida; Fabales; Fabaceae.